RNAcentral lists this ribosomal RNA (253 nucleotides) under uncultured prokaryote. RNAcentral describes it as "partial 16S ribosomal RNA". It matches the Rfam family "Bacterial small subunit ribosomal RNA", at positions 524 to 776 of the family's 1533-position model. The record is from RNAcentral.
UACAGAGGGUGCAAGCGUUGUUCGGAAUUAUUGGGCGUAAAGGGCGCGUAGGCGGCCUGGCAAGUGGAUGGUGAAAUCCCUCGGCUUAACCGAGGAACUGCCAUCCAGACUGCUUGGCUUGAGACCGGGAGAGGUGAGUGGAAUUCCCAGUGUAGCGGUGAAAUGCGUAGAGAUGUGGAGGAACACCGAUGGCGAAGGCAGCCUUCUGGGCCAACACUGACGCUCAUGCACGAAAGCGUGGGGAGCAAACAGG